GCCCGUGUGGCCAAACUGGAAAGGCACUUCCCGGCGAAGGAAGCGACGAGCCCGCUUUUCUCAACAGCUUUUUGACAGGCAGACGAGAAAAGCGGGCGACACGUUCGAAUCGUCUCACGGGCACCA
This 126-nucleotide transfer RNA is filed under the name Acanthopleuribacter pedis. RNAcentral's name for it is "tRNA-Arg". Lineage: Bacteria; Pseudomonadati; Acidobacteriota; Holophagae; Acanthopleuribacterales; Acanthopleuribacteraceae. The record is from RNAcentral.